This 883-nucleotide ribosomal RNA is filed under the name Napier grass stunt phytoplasma. RNAcentral describes it as "bacterial SSU rRNA". It matches the Rfam family "Bacterial small subunit ribosomal RNA", at positions 191 to 1062 of the family's 1533-position model. Lineage: Bacteria; Bacillati; Mycoplasmatota; Mollicutes; Acholeplasmatales; Acholeplasmataceae. The record is from RNAcentral.
UGGGCAUCUUUUUAAUUUUUUAAGACCUUUUUCGAAGGUAUGCUUAAAGAGGGGCUUGCGACACAUAGAGGGGGGGUAGGGUAAAAGCCUACCAAGACUAUGAUGUGUAGCAGGACUGAGAGGUCGAACAGCCACAUUGGGACUGAGACACGGCCCAAACUCCUACGGGAGGCAGCAGUAGGGAAUUUUCGGCAAUGGAGGAAACUCUGACCGAGCAACGCCGCGUGAACGAUGAAGUAUUUCGGUAUGUAAAGUUCUUUUAUUGAAGAAGAAAAAAUAGUGGAAAAACUAUAUUGACGCUAUUCAAUGAAUAAGCCCCGGCAAACUAUGUGCCAGCAGCCGCGGUAAUACAUAGGGGGCAAGCGUUAUCCGGAAUUAUUGGGCGUAAAGGGUGCGUAGGCGGUUUAAUAAGUCUGUAGUUUAAUUUCAGUGCUUAACACUGUCCUGCUAUAGAAACUAUUAGACUAGAGUGAGAUAGAGGUAAGCGGAAUUCCAUGUGUAGCGGUAAAAUGCGUAAAUAUAUGGAGGAACACCAGAGGCGUAGGCGGCUUACUGGGUCUUUACUGACGCUGAGGCACGAAAGCGUGGGGAGCAAACAGGAUUAGAUACCCUGGUAGUCCACGCCGUAAACGAUGAGUACUAAGUGUCGGGGAAACUCGGUACUGAAGUUAACACAUUAAGUACUCCGCCUGAGUAGUACGUACGCAAGUAUUGAAACUUAAAGGAAUUGACGGGACUCCGCACAAGCCGGUGGGAUCAUGUUGUUUAUUCGAAGAAUACACGAAAAACCCUUACCAGGUUCUUGACAUACUCUGCAAGCUAUAAGCAUAUAGGGGAGGGUUAUCAGGGAUACAGGUGGUGGCAUGGGUUGUCGGCCAGCUCG